This 92-nucleotide transfer RNA is filed under the name Carnobacterium alterfunditum. RNAcentral's name for it is "tRNA_Arg_TCT". RNAcentral also lists the same sequence under 1 other name. Lineage: Bacteria; Bacillati; Bacillota; Bacilli; Lactobacillales; Carnobacteriaceae. The record is from RNAcentral.
GUAGAUGUACGUGGUGUUUCACUUUUUAGAGGUCAAACGAUUGUUUUUUCUUGUGUUUAAAUAAGGUAUAGGUUCGAAUCCUAUCUUCUACA